RNAcentral lists this ribosomal RNA (324 nucleotides) under uncultured eukaryote. RNAcentral describes it as "partial 18S ribosomal RNA". It matches the Rfam family "Eukaryotic small subunit ribosomal RNA", at positions 1470 to 1796 of the family's 1831-position model. The record is from RNAcentral.
CCCUUAGAUGUUCUGGGCCGCACGCGCGCUACACUGACGGAGUCAACGAGUUGUCCUGCAUCGGAAGGUGUGGGUAAUCUUUUGAAACUUCGUCGUGCUGGGGAUAGAUCUUUGCAAUUUUCGAUCUUGAACGAGGAAUUCCUAGUAAGCGUGAUUCAUCAGAUCGCGUUGAUUACGUCCCUGCCCUUUGUACACACCGCCCGUCGCUACUACCGAUUGAAUGGUUUAGUGAGGCCUCGGGACUGGCGCGCUCGAGUAGCAAUACACCUGCGCGCCGGGAACUUGGUCAAACUUGAUCAUUUAGAGGAAGUAAAGGUCGUANCA